AUGGGACCCUGCGGUGCAUUAGCUAGUUGGUAGGGUAACGGCCUACCAAGGCGAUGAUGCAUAGCCGAGUUGAGAGACUGAUCGGCCACAUUGGGACUGAGACACGGCCCCAAACUCCUACGGGAGGCAGCAGUAGGGAAUCUUCCACAAUGGACGCAAGUCUGAUGGAGCAACGCCGCGUGAGUGAAGAAGGGUUUCGGCUCGUAAAGCUCUGUUGUUGGUGAAGAAGGACGAGGGGUAGUAACUGUACCUUUGUUUGACGGUAAUCAAUUAGAAAGUCACGGCUAACUACGUGCCAGCAGCCGCGGUAAU
Molecule: ribosomal RNA, 312 nt
Filed under: uncultured Lactobacillus sp.
Lineage: Bacteria; Bacillati; Bacillota; Bacilli; Lactobacillales; Lactobacillaceae
Description: bacterial SSU rRNA
Rfam family: Bacterial small subunit ribosomal RNA
Source: RNAcentral